CCUACGGGUGGCAGCAGUCGAGAAUCAUUCACAAUGGGGGAAACCCUGAUGGUGCGACGCCGCGUGGGGGAAUGAAGGUCUUCGGAUUGUAAACUCCUGUCAUGUGGGAGCAAAUUAAAAAGAUAGUACCACAUGAGGAAGAGACGGCUAACUAUGUGCCAGCAGCCGCGGUAAUACAGAGGUCUCAAGAGGUGUGAGGAAUCACUGGGCGUAAAGGGUGCGUAGGCUGUUUCGUAAGUCGUGUGUGAAAGGCGCGGGCUCAACCCGCGGACGGCACAUGAUACUGGGGGACUAGAGUAAUGGAGAGGGAACCGGAAUUCUCGGUGUAGCAGUGAAAUGCGUAGAUA
RNAcentral lists this ribosomal RNA (347 nucleotides) under uncultured bacterium. RNAcentral's name for it is "partial 16S ribosomal RNA". It matches the Rfam family "Bacterial small subunit ribosomal RNA", at positions 338 to 696 of the family's 1533-position model. The record is from RNAcentral.